ACGGAAGGCAGCAGUGGGGAAUAUUGGACAAUGGGGGAAACCCUGAUCCAGCGACGCCGCGUGAGUGAAGAAGUAUUUCGGUAUGUAAAGCUCUAUCAGCAAGGAAGAAAAUGACGGUACUUGACUAAGAAGCCCCGGCUAACUACGUGCCAGCAGCCGCGGUAAUACGUAGGGGGCAAGCGUUAUCCGGAUUUACUGGGUGUAAAGGGAGCGUAGACGGCAUAGCAAGUCUGAAGUGAAAUGCAUGGGCUCAACCCAUGAACUGCUUUGGAAACUGUUAAGCUAGAGUGCAGGAGAGGUAAGUGGAAUUCCUAGUGUAGCGGUGAAAUGCGUAGAUAUUAGGAGGAACACCAGUGGCGAAGGCGGCUUACUGGGCUGUAACUGACGUUGAGGCUCGAAAGCGUGGGGAGCAAACAGGAUUAGAUACCCUGGUA
RNAcentral lists this ribosomal RNA (434 nucleotides) under uncultured Lachnospiraceae bacterium. RNAcentral describes it as "partial 16S ribosomal RNA". It matches the Rfam family "Bacterial small subunit ribosomal RNA", at positions 341 to 792 of the family's 1533-position model. The record is from RNAcentral. Lineage: Bacteria; Bacillati; Bacillota; Clostridia; Lachnospirales; Lachnospiraceae.